ACAUAGAACUUUGUAACAAACAAUGGAACUCGAUUGUAUUUUGCGAGUUCCAAGUCUCCAUAGUUGAGUGAUCACUCUUUGCGAGCUUUAUUUGAACUGGGGACCUUUUCAUCAUCAAUGGAGUCUCGGUGGAGGUUAUGACUGAAUCAGUAUGUGCAGGCGCUGGGUCGGUGCUGGCUGGAAGUCCUUCAAUAACUGGAACAUCAUCAGAUGGCCGUUCGUGUGAUCCGAACAUUGCGUUUCACCACUGGAUUUGGAACCAUAGAAAGUAAUUACAGCUCCAGCCAUCAUAAGCAACUCCACAGUUACUAUAACUUUUCAAAUGUGUAGCUUAGAUAAAUGAGCAAAUGCAGAAAGCCAGCAACAAAAAAUCUCUUACUUUCAAAUAAGAGACGUUUUGAUAAGAGUUAAUUGUGUGCAGCAUGAAAAAGGAGAGACAACGCAAACAACACAUGUAUUUGGUCAUGUUAUGAAAGUACACAGGAGCACAUAGCUAAG
Molecule: long non-coding RNA, 498 nt
Filed under: Brassica rapa (field mustard)
Lineage: Eukaryota; Viridiplantae; Streptophyta; Magnoliopsida; Brassicales; Brassicaceae
Description: long non-coding RNA (BRAP_LNC003766)
Source: RNAcentral